This is a long non-coding RNA of Apis laboriosa (Himalayan honeybee), 2114 nucleotides long. RefSeq lists it as uncharacterized. The transcript has 3 exons. The record is from RefSeq and is a predicted model, not a curated record. NCBI's taxonomy places the organism in Eukaryota, Metazoa, Arthropoda, Insecta, Hymenoptera, Apidae.
AAAUGAAUAAUUUUUUACAUAUCUGUCUUUUUUUUUAUAUAUGCGUUCAAUAUAAGUGUUAUCGCUAGUAUAUAGUUAUUUUGGAUUUUGUUGCAUUUUUUAUUGUUAUAAUUAUCUAUUAUAUUUACUAAAAAUCAAUAUUCGUCUUCAAUUUUUGAUACCAUAUUAAACAUGUUAACAUUUAAUGACGUAAACGUAUACAUUAUUGAGAUUUUCUUUUAUGGCGGAUGACGUGAACGGCACGUCAUAAAUUCUUCUAAAAAAUGUUCCAAACAAAUAACUUUCCAGUCGUUCCAAAAAGAAAAAGAAGUGACGAUGAUAUUCCUUUAUCAAAUUCUCAAUCAUCGACAUUUGAUAAUACAAAUAUAAAAAAUGUCAAGAAGUUUCUGUCAGAAAAAACAAUGGUGAUAUUUUUUUAGAUACAGAUAGUGAUAAUAAUUCGGAUUUUGAUUGUUUUAUGACAGAUGUUUCACAAGAAGAAAGUGAAGAAAGUGAUCAAGAAAUAUUUUUCUCUCGAUCUACUUCAUCUUAAUUUAAAUCAGAACAAUCCAAGCUAUCAGAUCCAUUAUACAAAAUUCGGCCACUUCUUGAUCAUUUUAAUAAUACAAUGCGAGAAAUUUAUUAUCCUCAAAAAAAUUUAAGUUUACAUGAACCUAUGUCAUUAUGGAAAAAUAGUUUAUAAUUUCAUCAAUAUGUAAACAAUUGUAAACAAAAAAUCAUAUAAAUUUAGAUUAAAAUUUAUAUGCUGAUGGAACCUAAUGGACUUGUAUUGCGUAAUUUAAUUUAUUGUGGUUCACAAGAUCCUGAUAUUGGAGGAAUUGAAUAUACAGAAAAAAUUGUAAAAAUGCUGCUUAUGGAUUUUUUGGGAAAGGGACAUUCAAUUUUUUUUGAUAAAUAUUAUACAAGCAUAUCAUUAGUUAGAGAAUUGUUAUAUAAUAAUACUUAUUCAACUGAUACAUUAAGUUCAAAUAGAAAAAGUAAUCCUCUCAAUAUUAUACGAAAAAAGUUAAAAAAGAUGAAGUAGAAGCAUAUUAUACUCCUGAAGGUAUAUGUAUUCUAAAAUUGCAUGACAAGCGAGAUAUAAUAAUGAUUUCAUCUGAAUAUAAACCAGAUCUCAUAAAUUUAACAAUAAAGAAUGGUAAAAAAAUACAAAAACCAGAGAUGGUAGAUAAAUAUAAUGAUUGUAUGAGUGGAAUUGAUCAUGCCAAUCAAUUUUUAACCUAUUAUCCAUGUGAGAAAAAAACAAUUUGAUGGUAUGUGAAAGUAGCUUUACAUAUAUUUCACGUUAUUAUGAAUAAUGCGUAUUUAUUACAUCGACAAAAUGCAUGACAAAAGAUGACAUUUUUAAAAUUUAGAAAAGCAUCAUGAAUGAAUUUAUUUAUAAGAAUAAGUCCCGUUUACAUGCAAUCUACAAACCAAUGAGAAACAAUGUUCAUUUGCCAACAAUAUCAGGCCAGGGAGGAGAGAAGAAAAUAUGUAAAAGGUGUAAAAUCUGCUACGUUAAAAGUAUAAGAAAAGAAGGAUUAUUUUAUUGUCCAAUGUGUCCAGAUAAACCAGGUCUCUGUUUUGAUAAAUGCUUUGCGGAAUAUCAUAACUAUACGUAACUAUACAUAAUAUAAACAUGCGUAAUAUAUUAAUUUUAUAAUAUUUCUAAGCAUUUCCAUAAUUAUAUGAAUUAACCCUUUGCACUCCAGGCCUGUUUCGAUCGGCCGAACUAGCAAUUCCAGACUCAGACUCGCGCAUUCGAUGCGUUUGGUGGCCUCAUAAGAUUACCAUAAGAUAAUCAUUCAUAAGAUAAAAGUACACCUCAUAAAAUUAUAUGUAAGAGUUUAGGAACCUAUUUAUGAAGCGAUAUUCUAAAAAAAUCAAACAUAAAUAAAUAUUGUCGCCGUUCAAGUUGCCGCAAUAAUCCCAGUGGUGCCGGAGAGUCACUGCUGGAAGAGUCACUACGGCAUUAACUCAAGUGGUGAGCAAGAGUCACCGUUGGAGAGCAAAGGAUUAACAAAUAAAUAAAAUAUUAAUAUAUAUAAUAUAUAAAUAUAUAUUAAACAUAUAUUAAAUAUGAAUAUGUUAAACAAACAAAACUUCAUAAUAACAAUAAUAAAUAAUAACAA